GACAGAGGAUGCAAGCGUUAUCCGGAAUGAUUGGGCGUAAAGCGUCUGUAGGUGGCUUUUUAAGUCCGCCGUCAAAUCCCAGGGCUCAACCCUGGACAGGCGGUGGAAACUACCAAGCUGGAGUACGGUAGGGGAGACUGGAAUUCCUGGUGUAGCGGUGAAAUGCGCAGAUAUCAGGAGGAACACCGAUGGCGAAGGCAGGUCUCUGGGCCACUACUGACGCUGAGAAGCGAAAGCAUGGGGAGCGAACAGG
Molecule: ribosomal RNA, 253 nt
Filed under: uncultured bacterium
Lineage: Bacteria
Description: partial 16S ribosomal RNA
Rfam family: Bacterial small subunit ribosomal RNA
Source: RNAcentral